RNAcentral lists this transfer RNA (73 nucleotides) under Uranoscopus japonicus. Its description in RNAcentral is "tRNA-Leu". It matches the Rfam family "tRNA". From Rfam's summary of the family: Transfer RNA (tRNA) molecules are approximately 80 nucleotides in length. Their secondary structure includes four short double-helical elements and three loops (D, anti-codon, and T loops). The record is from RNAcentral. Lineage: Eukaryota; Metazoa; Chordata; Actinopteri; Uranoscopiformes; Uranoscopidae.
GUUAGCGUGGCAUAGACCGGCCCUGCAAAAGACUUAAGCCCUUUCAACAGAGGUUCAAAUCCUCUCUCUAACC